This 431-nucleotide long non-coding RNA is filed under the name Pavo cristatus (Indian peafowl). Its description in RNAcentral is "lncRNA (ENSPSTG00000015269.1)". Lineage: Eukaryota; Metazoa; Chordata; Aves; Galliformes; Phasianidae. The record is from RNAcentral.
AACAGUACCGCGAGUACCAAUGGAUCGGCCUCAACGACCGCACCAUCGAGGGGGACUUCCAGUGGUCCGACGGCAGCCCCCUGCUCUAUGAGAACUGGCACCCGGGGCAGCCCGACAGCUACUUCCUCUCCGGUGAGAACUGCGUGGUCAUUGUGUGGCACGACGGGGGACAAUGGAGUGAUGUCCCCUGCAACUACCACCUCUCCUACACCUGCAAAAUGGGGCUGGUGCAGUGCGGACCCCCCCCCACCGUCAGCAACGCCCGCGCCUUCGGCACACCAAAGCAGCGCUACGAGAUCGGCUCCAUCACGCGCUAUCACUGCCGCCACGGCUUCGCCCCGCGCCGCUCCCCCAUCAUCCGCUGCCGUGAGGAUGGGAUUUGGGAACGGCCCCAGCUCUCCUGCCGCCCCGGUGAGCACGCAGCCCCCUGC